UGUAAGUAUUAUUGGCAAUGUUAUAUUCGUUUAUAAUAAACAGUUCAUCUGUAUUAAUAGGUACUGCAUAUUUCUGUUUUCUCAUGUUUGUGUUCCUUGACUCCUGUCCUUGUGCAUCUUUGUCUCCUUUCUCUCCUUUGCCUUUCUCUCCUCUUCAUACACACAUAUGCAUAAUUAUAACUAACUUUUGCUUUCUCUCAUUCCUUUGCUAGGUCUCUCAUGUCUUCUCUCUUUCUUGUGUUAACACAGUUCUAGUAUCAUACAAUGGUAUAUCACAGACAUUGUCAUUUGCUAGCUGCAAUCAUGUGGGAACAGGAAUGCAAAUAAAUGCUAACAAAAUUGUAAUGUGCCUCAAUCCUGCUAUGUACCUCUAUCUUGCAAUGGACCAAGAUACUCCUGAUGUCAUCACAUAAUGAGUCUUACAUAAUUCAAGACAAUAGCAUCAAGACAACACUAAGACUAAAAACUGAUUAAAAUAAUUAUUUUUUUAUAAUCAUUAAUGUUUAAAUGUAAGAUUAGUUGACACUGUG
Long non-coding RNA from Amphimedon queenslandica, 530 nucleotides. RefSeq lists it as uncharacterized. Lineage: Eukaryota; Metazoa; Porifera; Demospongiae; Haplosclerida; Niphatidae. The transcript has 4 exons. The record is from RefSeq and is a predicted model, not a curated record.